Molecule: ribosomal RNA, 449 nt
Filed under: uncultured bacterium
Lineage: Bacteria
Description: partial 16S ribosomal RNA
Rfam family: Bacterial small subunit ribosomal RNA
Source: RNAcentral
AACGAACGCUGGCGGCAUGCCUAACACAUGCAAGUCGAACGAGAUCUUCGGGUCUAGUGGCGCACGGGUGCGUAACGCGUGGGAAUCUGCCCUUUGGUUCGGAAUAACAGUUGGAAACGACUGCUAAUACCGGAUGAUGACGAAAGUCCAAAGAUUUAUCGCCAGAGGAUGAGCCCGCGUAGGAUUAGCUAGUUGGUGUGGUAAAGGCGCACCAAGGCGACGAUCCUUAGCUGGUCUGAGAGGAUGAUGAGCCACACUGGGACUGAGACACGGCCCAGACUCCGGCGGGAUGCAGCAGUGUGUAAUAUUGGACAAUGGGCGAAAGCCGGAUCCAGCAAUGCCGCGUGAGUGAUGAAGGCCUUAGGGUUGUAAAGCUCCUUUACCCGGGAUGAUAAUGACAGUACCGGGAGAAUAAGCUCCGGCUAACUCGGUGCCAGCCGCCGCCGUAA